Alligator mississippiensis (American alligator) is the source of this 73-nucleotide transfer RNA. It matches the Rfam family "tRNA". From Rfam's summary of the family: Transfer RNA (tRNA) molecules are approximately 80 nucleotides in length. NCBI's taxonomy places the organism in Eukaryota, Metazoa, Chordata, Crocodylia, Alligatoridae. The record is from Rfam.
GCUGAAAUAGCUCAGUUGGGAGAGCAUUAGACUGAAUAUCUAAAAGUCCCUGGUUCAAUCCCAGGUUUCAGCA